UCCUACUGGUUACAGAGCCGUAAACAUUGA
This 30-nucleotide non-coding RNA is filed under the name Mus musculus (house mouse). Lineage: Eukaryota; Metazoa; Chordata; Mammalia; Rodentia; Muridae. The record is from RNAcentral.